AUGGACAUACUUGCAGAGAUGAAGGAAAAUGAUCCAGAAUUCAACUAUACUGUCCAGGUUGAUGAUGAGAGCAGAAUAAAAACACUUAUGUGGUUUAAUGGGCGCAGUGUAGACCAGUACAGGUGUUUCGGAGAUGUUGUGACAUUCGAUACAACAUACAGGACAAAUCUAUAUGAUAUGCCAUUUGGGCUGUUUGUUGGAGUCAACAAUCACUUCCAAAGCAUUAUUUUUGGAGGUGUCAUGUUGCGGUAUGAAAAGGAGGAUACAUUCAAGUGGGUUUUCCGUGAAUUCAUCAGGAUGGUUGGCGGCAAACACCCGCAAACAAUUUUAACCGAUCAGGCGCGAUCAAUGGAAUUGGCUAUAGAAGCAUAA
RNAcentral lists this ribosomal RNA (372 nucleotides) under Triticum aestivum (bread wheat). RNAcentral describes it as "partial small subunit ribosomal RNA". Lineage: Eukaryota; Viridiplantae; Streptophyta; Magnoliopsida; Poales; Poaceae. The record is from RNAcentral.